GCCUGGAUGGCUCAGUCGGUUGAGUGUCUGACUUCAGCUCAGGUCAUGAUCUCACACUCUGUGAGUUCAAGCCCCACAUUGGGCU
Felis catus (domestic cat) is the source of this 85-nucleotide transfer RNA. It matches the Rfam family "tRNA". From Rfam's summary of the family: Transfer RNA (tRNA) molecules are approximately 80 nucleotides in length. Their secondary structure includes four short double-helical elements and three loops (D, anti-codon, and T loops). The record is from Rfam. NCBI's taxonomy places the organism in Eukaryota, Metazoa, Chordata, Mammalia, Carnivora, Felidae.